Molecule: long non-coding RNA, 272 nt
Filed under: Hordeum vulgare
Lineage: Eukaryota; Viridiplantae; Streptophyta; Magnoliopsida; Poales; Poaceae
Description: long non-coding RNA (HVUL_LNC008795)
Source: RNAcentral
UCGGCGGUACACUAGCUAGCAGGUAGCGCUACCACGAGGCGGCGGCGGCGGCGGCGGAGGAGGAGGAGCUCCCACCGAAUCUGCCCCGGGUGGUCCGCGCCACCUGCCGCUCCCAGGCGGCCGUAUCGAGGAGGAUCGAUUUCGGUUCGGGGGUUAAGCGACAGCGGCAGCGGCGGCGGGAUCAUGUUCAAGCUCCACCGCCACCGCUCCUCGGACCGGAGCGUCGGCGAGCGCUUCGAGUUCAGGUUCUCCAGCUUCCGCACCGUCAUGGU